Molecule: non-coding RNA, 897 nt
Filed under: Polypedates braueri (Java treefrog)
Lineage: Eukaryota; Metazoa; Chordata; Amphibia; Anura; Rhacophoridae
Description: partial 12S rRNA
Rfam family: Bacterial small subunit ribosomal RNA
Source: RNAcentral
UUCUUAACUUACACAUGCAAGUCUCAGCACUCCAGUGAAAACGCCCUUUAAACCUAUAAAAGGAUAAGGAGCUGGCAUCAGGCACAGAAUCCUUGCCCAUAACGCCUAGUUUCACCACGCCUCCAAAGGUAGUCAGCAGUGAUCAACAUUGUCCAUAGGCGAAAGCCCGAGUCAGUUAAAGAAAAGAGAGUUGGCCAACCCGGUGCCAGCCGCCGCGGCCAUACCGGUGGACUCAAGUUAAUGCCAACCGGCGUAAAGCGUGAUUAAAGAAUUACUAAAUUAGAGUUGAAGUGUGGCUUAGCUGUUGAAAGCUUACCUAAUAGAACCCCAGAAACGAAAGUUACUCUAAUUAACCUCUUGAAUACACGACAGUUUGGGCACAAACUGGGAUUAGAUACCCCACUAUGCCACACCGUAAAUUUGAACUACACUUAAAACGCCAGGGUACUACGAGCCGAGCUUAAAACCCAAAGGAUUUGACGGUGUUCCACCCAACUAGAGGAGCCUGUUCUAUAAUCGAUGAUCCACGAUAUACCUAACCAUUUUUUGCUAUUCAGCCUGUAUACCUCCGUCGUAAGCUUACCGCUUGAGUGAGGAAAAGUAAGCAAAAGGGCCUAAGGCCAAAACGUCAGGUCAAGGUGCAGCUUAUAAAAUGGAAGAAAUGAGCUACAAUUUCUAAUUUAGAAUACACGAAUUACUGCAUGAAACAAAGUCAUGAAGGUGGAUUUAGCAGUAAGUGAGGAAUAGAGAGCCUCACUUAAUUCGGCCCUGGAACGCGUACAAACCGCCCGUCACCCUCUUCGAUAGCUUAAUUAAUAGUUAAAUAACCUAUUCACCGCGUUUUAGAAGAGGCAAGUCGUAACAUGGUAAGCAUACUGGAAAGUGUUCUUGGAAUAA